AUUGAACGCUGGCGGCAGGCCUAACACAUGCAAGUCGAGCGAGCGGCGGACGGGUGAGUAAUGUUUAGGAAACUGCCUGAUGGAGGGGGAUAACUACUGGCAACGGUAGCUAAUACCGCAUACCAUCAGAUGUGCCCAGGUGGGAUUAGCUCGUUGGUGGGGUAACGGCUCACCUAGGCGACGAUCCCUAGCUGGUCUGAGAGGUUGACCAGCCACACUGGAACUGAUACACGGUCCAGCCUCCUCCGGGAGGCAGCAGUGGGGAAUGUUGCACAAUGGGCGGAAGCCUGAUGCAGCCAUGCCGCGUGUGUGAAGAAGGCCUUCGGGUUGUAAAGCACUUUCGGCGGGGAGGCGUUACCCGAAGAAGAAGCACCGGCUAACUCCGUGCCAGCAGCCGCGGUAAUUC
RNAcentral lists this ribosomal RNA (406 nucleotides) under uncultured bacterium. RNAcentral describes it as "partial 16S ribosomal RNA". It matches the Rfam family "Bacterial small subunit ribosomal RNA", at positions 30 to 526 of the family's 1533-position model. The record is from RNAcentral.